ACCCUACGGGACGCAGCAGUGGGGGAUAUUGGACAAUGGGGGGAACCCUGAUCCAGCGACGCCGCGUGAGUGAAGAAGUAUCUCGGUAUGUAAAGCUCUAUCAGCAGGGAAGAAAGAAAUGACGGUACCUGAGUAAGAAGCCCCGGCUAACUACGUGCCAGCAGCCGCGGUAAUACGUAGGGGGCGAGCGUUAUCCGGAUUUACUGGGUGUAAAGGGAGCGUAGACGGUUAUGCAAGUCUGGAGUGAACGGCGGGGGCUCAACCCCCGGACUGCUCUGGAAACUGUCGAACUAGAGUGCAGGAGG
This 305-nucleotide ribosomal RNA is filed under the name uncultured bacterium. Its description in RNAcentral is "bacterial SSU rRNA". It matches the Rfam family "Bacterial small subunit ribosomal RNA", at positions 335 to 655 of the family's 1533-position model. The record is from RNAcentral.